This is a long non-coding RNA of Chiloscyllium plagiosum (whitespotted bambooshark), 392 nucleotides long. RefSeq lists it as uncharacterized. The record is from RefSeq and is a predicted model, not a curated record. Lineage: Eukaryota; Metazoa; Chordata; Chondrichthyes; Orectolobiformes; Hemiscylliidae.
AGCCAAACACUUUGGCUCAUGUAAGUAAAUUGACAGAAUGUGGCAGAGGCAAUGUGUUUACUCGCGAGCUGCGAAUCCUUAUCCAUUCCUCGGGCAAUGCUCUGUUACCUUGUGAAGGACUACACUUCGAGGACUUAGACAACAGCAAAGUACAUGGCUGACAGUGUACAUCUCUGAGUCUCCUUCGGUGAGAUUACAGGAGCUGGAGGGGAAGACAUUACAGUGGGAGGAAUAUGGUUCGAAUUGUGAAAAAUAGCCAAAAGGCCGAAUCCAGAGAGCAUCAAGGAAGUAGCUCCUGUUGUGGUGUCUGGCUGGACUGUCGAGUUCGAGAACACAAAGUCAGUAUAUGUGGAUUAUUAUCAGAGAAUCCCUCCAGUGUGAAAGCAGGCCAU